RNAcentral lists this transfer RNA (99 nucleotides) under Amborella trichopoda. RNAcentral's name for it is "tRNA AMTR_s04219t00273280". The record is from RNAcentral. Lineage: Eukaryota; Viridiplantae; Streptophyta; Magnoliopsida; Amborellales; Amborellaceae.
UAGUACUACUAGUAGUACUACUACUAGUAGCACUACUACUAGUAGUACUAGCACAAGUACUUGUAUUUGAAGUACUAGUUCUAGUACUAGUAGUACUAC